RNAcentral lists this ribosomal RNA (431 nucleotides) under uncultured bacterium. RNAcentral describes it as "partial 16S ribosomal RNA". It matches the Rfam family "Bacterial small subunit ribosomal RNA", at positions 29 to 507 of the family's 1533-position model. The record is from RNAcentral.
AACGAACGCUGGCGGCAGGCUUAACACAUGCAAGUCGAGCGCCCCGCAAGGGGGGCGGCAGACGGGUGAGUAGCGCGUGGGAACGUACCUUUUGGUUCGGAACAACUCCGGGAAACUGGAGCUAAUACCGGAUAAGCCCUAACGGGGAAAGAUUUAUCGCCGAAAGAUCGGCCCGCGUCUGAUUAGCUAGUUGGUGAGGUAACGGCUCACCAUGGCGACGAUAAGUAGCUGGUCUGAGAGUAUGAUCAGCCACACUGGGACUGAGACACGGCCCAGACUCCUACGGGAGGCAGGAGUGGGGAAUAUUGGACAAUGGGCGCAAGCCUGAUCCAGCCAUGCCGCGAGAGUGAUGAAGGCCUUAGGGUUGUAAAGCUCUUUUGUCCGGGAAGAUAAUGACUGUACCGGAAGAAUAAGCCCCGGCUAACUUCGUG